Molecule: long non-coding RNA, 3145 nt
Organism: Oncorhynchus keta (chum salmon)
Lineage: Eukaryota; Metazoa; Chordata; Actinopteri; Salmoniformes; Salmonidae
Exons: 3
Source: RefSeq, a predicted model, not a curated record
CGAGAUCCUAAUAAGGAAAACAAGAGCAAAGAGAAAGAAUAUGGCAGACAGUGGGAGGGUCGUCACAAUAGCCAAGACCAAAAAACGAUGUAUGUGCAACGUUGAAAGUUUGCUGGGAAUAAAUUAUGUUCAAAACCUUUAACAUUGAAUUGAAGAACCCCCAAAAACGUGUAGCCUCGGGAACAUUUACUGUUUACUGGGUUGGUACAAACUGAUGCAGUAAACAAAUAACCAAAAAUAUUUGAGUCAGAGUUAGUUCUUAAAGUCCAUCUUUAAUUAUAUGAGCUCUAUCACAACCCUGUGACUCUCAGAGAAUUCAGUGUCUAUCAAUGAAUUCUCUGAGAGCCCCUUUACACAUUGCAACUGAGAUCCUUUAAUAGCAAAGAACACACAUAGUCAGACAGCAUAGACAUAAUAAAUUGUUCAGCUUUGUCUCCUUACUCAAACCCUAGAACCAUAAACCAAUCCUCCAUAUCAACAGGCAUAUAUCAAAUUGUCAUUUAGAUACAACCAAUUCUAAAUACAACCAAUCCUGGACAAACACGGAGAGCAUAGAAUGAUUCCAGACACUGCCAUCCUCCUCUCCCCGAUGGGAAAAGUAGGGAGUGACGGGCACACAGACACAGUGGAGCAAAAGAUUUACACAUGAUGACACCUUGACCUCUCCCCUCUCUGCGGCCCAAGCAACUUAGUCUUGACAUAGAACAGAUACUGCAACCCUGCCAUAGUAUUAUACAAAAAUAACAUUAUUGAUGAGAAGUAACUUACAUUUACAUUUACAUUUAAGUCAUUUAGCAGACGCUCUUAUCCAGAGCGACUUACAAAUUGGUGCAUACACCUUAUGACAUCCAGUGGAACAGCCACUUUACAAUAGUGCAUCUAAAAUAUGAUGAAUAUAAAACAUCUUACCUAUGUUACCAACCAAUUCUGAUUAUUCCCCAACACUAAACAUAGUUGUACCAUGGGUGGGGAACUUACUAUCCACUGUUCCACAGCAACAGUUGCUGAUCUUUGAUCACAACUCUCCUGUACCUUUUUCAGGUCUGCAGCCAGGCGUUUCACGUCAGCCUCCAGGGAGGUAGUUAAGUCGGAGACACUAGCAGGGGUCUCCAGUGCUGCAAUCGUCGUAGUGUGCACCUCUUGAUGUUGUGUUGAGUGAUGUGAUUAUUGGCACCGUCUCGUUCCGCAGGAUGGUUAGAUCUGCUUUUAAAGUAUCAGAAACCUCCUGUAUUCAGGCCUCAAUCGUAGCAACUUCCUCCGUUUUCAUUUUAACUAUCUCAGAGCAUAGUAGUUUGAUGGACUCGAGAAUGUUCAUUUCAGCGCCGCCAGGCCAGGCCGCACCCCCGGGUAAAGUGUGAGUCUCUGGGCCCUCAGACUCAGGAGAGGGCGGUGAUAAGAGUAGAUCUUGUAGGCCGGGUUUUCUCUAAGUCGUGUUUUUGGCCGUGCUGAUAUUCGAAAGCAAAGUGUUCUUGGUUUUUUAUUUUUAUUUUACCUUUAUUUAACUAGGCAAGUCAGUUAAGAACAAAUUCUUAUUUUCAAUGACGGCCUAGAAACAGUGGGUUAACUGCCUGUUCAGGGGCAGAACGACAAAUGUGUACCUCCUCAGCUCGGGGGUUUGAACUUGCAACCUUCCGGUUACUAGUCCAAUGCUCUAACCACCUUUUACGGAAAGGGAUCACCAAACUAAUAUUGAAAAUAAAUACGGUUUUGCUGCAAAAUUCACAUAAACUUUAGGAAUAUUGUGGGAGCAAACGGAAAACACGUCAGUCGCACGUUGUGCCCCUAGCGGCCCCAAGUUUUUUUUAUUUUGACAAAGAUGCAUGAUUUAUAUGAAGGUUUGACUUAAACAUACACCUCAAUUUAGUAUUCAGCCCCCAAAGGAAUGUCCCAACUAUGUAGUAUUACUAAUAGUAUUCAGCCCCAAAGGAAUGUCCCAACUAUGUAGUAUUACUAAUAGUAUUGCAAGUACCAUCAUGCAGCCUUGGUAUUGUCCAGAGAGAACAAGGUAAUGGACACUCAGUGUUCUAGAGUUGUUGUCCAGAGAGACCAAGGUAAUGGACACUCAGUGUUCUAGAGUUGGUGUCCAGAGAGACCAAGGUAAUGGACACUCAGUGUUCUAGAGUUGUUGUCCAGAGAGACCAAGGUAAUGGACACUCAGUGUUCUAGAGUUGUUGUCCAGAGAGACCAAGGUAAUGGACACUCAGUGUUCUAGAGUUGUUGUCCAGAGAGACCAAGGUAAUGGGCAUUGUGUUCUAGAGUUGUUGUCCAGAGAGACCAAGGUAAUGGACAUUGUGUUCUAGAGUUGUUGUCCAGAGAGACCAAGGUAAUGGACACUCAGUGUUCUAGAGUUGUUGUCCAGAGAGAACAAGGUAAUGGACACUCAGUGUUCUAGAGUUGGUGUCCAGAGAGACCAAGGUAAUGGACACUCAGUGUUCUGGAGUUGUUGUCCAGAGAGACCAAGGUAAUGGACACUCAGUGUUCUAGAGUUGUUGUCCAGAGAGAACAAUGUAAUGGACACUCAGUGUUCUAGAGUUGUUGUCCAGAGAGACCAAGGUAAUGGACAUUGUGUUCUAGAGUUGGUGUCCAGAGAGACCAAGGUAAUGGACACUCAGUGUUCUAGAGUUGUUGUCCAGAGAGACCAAGGUAAUGGACACUCAGUGUUCUAGAGUUGUUGUCCAGAGAGAACAAUGUAAUGGACACUCAGUGUUCUAGAGUUGUUGUCCAGAGAGACCAAGGUAAUGGACAUUGUGUUCUAGAGUUGUUGUCCAGAGAGACCAAGGUAAUGGACACUCAGUGUUAUAGAGUUGUUGUCCAGAGAGACCAAGGUAAUGGACACUCAGUGCUCUAGAGUUGUUGUCUGGAGAGACCAGGGAAAUAGACACUCAGUGCUCUAGAGUUGUUGUCUGGAGAGAACAAGGUAAUGGACACUCAGUGCUCUAGAGUUGUUGUCCAGAGAGAACAAGGUAAUGGACACUCAGUGCUCUAGAGUUGUUGUCUGGAGAGAACAAGGUAAUGGACACUCAGUGCUCUAGAGUUGUUGUCUGGAGAGAACAAGGUAAUGGACACUCAGUGCUCUAGAGUUGUUGUCUGGAGAGACCAAGGUAAUGGACACUCAGUGCUCUAGAGUUGUUGUCUGGAGAGAACA